UUGCUCUGAUUUGGUCAGCGGCGGACGGGUGAGUAACACGUGGGCAACCUGCCCGCAAGACCGGGAUAACUCCGGGAAACCGGAGCUAAUACCGGAUAACACCGAAGACCGCAUGGUCUUUGGUUGAAAGGCGGCCUUUGGCUGUCACUUGCGGAUGGGCCCGCGGCGCAUUAACUAGUUGGUGAGGUAACGGCUCACCAAGGCGACGAUGCGUAACCGGCCUGAGAGGGUGACCGGCCACACUGGGACUGAGACACGGCCCAGACUCCUACGGGAGGCAGCAGUAGGGAAUCUUCCGCAAUGGGCGAAAGCCUGACGGAGCGACGCCGCGUGAGCGAAGAAGGCCUUCGGGUCGUAAAGCUCUGUUGUGAGGGACGAAGGAGCGCCGUUCGAAGAAGGCGGCGCGGUGACGGUACCUCACGAGGAAGCCCCGGCUAACUACGUGCCAGCAGCCGCGGUAAUACGUAAGGGGCGAGCGUUGUCCGGAAUUAUUGGGCGUAAAGCGCGCGCAGGCGGUUCCUUAAGUCUGAUGUGAAAGCCCACGGCUCAACCGUGGAGGGUCAUUGGAAACUGGGGGACUUGAGUGCAGGAGAGGAGAGCGGAUUUCCACGUGUAGCGGUGAAAUGCGUAGAGAUGUGGAGGAACACCAGUGGCGAAGGCGGCUCUCUGGCUUGCAACUGACGCUGAGGCGCGAAAGCGUGGGGAGCAACCAGGAUUAGAUACCCUGGUAGUCCACGCCGUAAACGAUGAGUGCUAAGUGUUAGAGGGGUCACACCCUUUAGUGCUGCAGCUAACGCGAUAAGCACUCCGCCUGGGGAGUACGGCCGCAAGGCUGAAACUCAAAGGAAUUGACGGGGGCCCGCACAAGCGGUGGAGCAUGUGGUUUAAUUCGAAGCAACGCGAAGAACCUUACCAGGUCUUGACAUCCCCUGACAACCCAAGAGAUUGGGCGUUCCCCCUUCGGGGGGACAGGGUGACAGGUGGUGCAUGGUUGUCGUCAGCUCGUGUCGUGAGAUGUUGGGUUAAGUCCCGCAACGAGCGCAACCCUCGCCUCUAGUUGCCAGCACGAAGGUGGGCACUCUAGAGGGACUGCCGGCGACAAGUCGGAGGAAGGUGGGGAUGACGUCAAAUCAUCAUGCCCCUUAUGACCUGGGCUACACACGUGCUACAAUGGGCGGUACAAAGGGCUGCGAACCCGCGAGGGGGAGCGAAUCCCAAAAAGCCGCUCUCAGUUCGGAUUGCAGGCUGCAACUCGCCUGCAUGAAGCCGGAAUCG
This 1275-nucleotide ribosomal RNA is filed under the name Geobacillus thermoleovorans. Its description in RNAcentral is "bacterial SSU rRNA". It matches the Rfam family "Bacterial small subunit ribosomal RNA", at positions 80 to 1334 of the family's 1533-position model. Lineage: Bacteria; Bacillati; Bacillota; Bacilli; Caryophanales; Anoxybacillaceae. The record is from RNAcentral.